RNAcentral lists this ribosomal RNA (396 nucleotides) under uncultured bacterium. RNAcentral describes it as "bacterial SSU rRNA". It matches the Rfam family "Bacterial small subunit ribosomal RNA", at positions 28 to 407 of the family's 1533-position model. The record is from RNAcentral.
GACGAACGCUGGCGGCGUGCCUAAUACAUGCAAGUAGAACGCUGAAGAGAGGAGCUUGCUCUUCUUGGAUGAGUUGCGAACGGGUGAGUAACGCGUAGGUAACCUGCCUUCGUAGCGGGGAUAACUAUUGGAAACGAUAGCUAAUACCGCAUAACAAUGGAUGACACAUGUCAUUUAUUUGAAAGGGGCAAUUGUUCCACUACAAGAUGGACCUGCGUUGUAUUAGCUAGUAGGUGAGGUAAUGGCUCACCUAGGCGACGAUACCAUAGCCGACCUGAGAGGGUGAUCGGGCCACACUGGGGACUGAGACACGGGCCCAGACUCCUACGGGAGGCAGCGAGUAGGGAAUCUUCGGGCAAUGGGGGCAACCCGUGACCGAGCAACGCCGCGUCGAGU